This 253-nucleotide ribosomal RNA is filed under the name uncultured bacterium. Its description in RNAcentral is "partial 16S ribosomal RNA". It matches the Rfam family "Bacterial small subunit ribosomal RNA", at positions 524 to 776 of the family's 1533-position model. The record is from RNAcentral.
UACGUAGGGUGCAAGCGUUAUUCGGAAUCACUGGGCGUAAAGGGUGCGUAGACGGUUUGUUAAGUUUGUUGUUAAAGACUCUGGCCUAACCGGAGGGUUGCAAUGAAAACUGGCGAGCUAGAGGGUGAGAGAGAGAAGUGGAAUUCCCGGAGUAGCGGUAAAAUGCGUGGAUCUCGGGAGGAACACCAAUGGCGAAGGCAGCUUCUUGGCUCAUUCCUGACGUUGAGGCACGAAAGCGUGGGGAGCAAACAGG